UACGUAGGUCCCGAGCGUUGUCCGGAUUUAUUGAGCAUAAAGCGAGCGCAGGGGGUUUAUUAAGUCUGGUGUAAAAGGCAGUGGCUCAACCAUUGUAUGCAUUGGAAACUGGUAGACUUGAGUGCAGGAGAGGAGAGUGGAAUUCCAUGUGUAGCGGUGAAAUGCGUAGAUAUAUGGAGGAACACCGGUGGCGAAAGCGGCUCUCUGGCCUGUAACUGACACUGAGGCUCGAAAGCGUGGGGAGCAAACAGG
Molecule: ribosomal RNA, 252 nt
Filed under: uncultured bacterium
Lineage: Bacteria
Description: partial 16S ribosomal RNA
Rfam family: Bacterial small subunit ribosomal RNA
Source: RNAcentral